RNAcentral lists this non-coding RNA (413 nucleotides) under Chelonia mydas (Green sea turtle). Its description in RNAcentral is "Eukaryotic small subunit ribosomal RNA". It matches the Rfam family "Eukaryotic small subunit ribosomal RNA", at positions 1281 to 1469 of the family's 1831-position model. The record is from Rfam by way of RNAcentral. Lineage: Eukaryota; Metazoa; Chordata; Testudines; Cheloniidae.
UAUAUGGCCGUUCUUAGCUGGUGGAGUGAUUUGUCUGGUUAAUUCCGAUAACGAAUGAGACUCUGGCAUGCUAACUAGUUAUGCAACCCCCGAGCAUGCCCAAAUAAAUCUGUUAGUCUCUAACAUGCCACCGGACUGGACUCCUCGCUGUUUUUGCAGAUAACGUUUCUUUUCCCCCCAUUUGUUAGCUUAAUAGCUGUGUUGAUCUGAUAUGUAAAUACAUUUUCAUGGUCUUUCAAAGUACUUUAGAAGUAACUGCCCAGAGGUGAAACUACAUUCCUUUGCUUAGGGUGGAGUAACUCCUGUUUGACUGGCAAACACAUUUUAUUAAUUAUGAUUUCAGUUUAUGUCCUUAACUUUGCAUCAGUUGUUUGCAACUAACAUUACACAAGGAUAUUAACAGGUGAGUUAUG